Molecule: ribosomal RNA, 560 nt
Filed under: uncultured eukaryote
Lineage: Eukaryota
Description: partial Bacterial small subunit ribosomal RNA
Rfam family: Bacterial small subunit ribosomal RNA
Source: RNAcentral
GAACCUUACCAGGGUUUGACAUAGUGUUAAUUCUUUGAAAGAAGAAGUGCUUCGGCAGACACAUACAGGUGGUGCAUGGCUGUCGUCAGCUCGUGUCGUGAGAUGUUGGGUUAAUUCCCGCAACGAGCGCAACCCUUGUUCACUGUUGCCAGCACGUUAUGGUGGGGACUCAGUGGAGACCGCCGGGGUCAACUCGGAGGAAGGUGGGGAUGACGUCAAGUCAUCAUGCCCCUUAUGUCCAGGGCUUCACGCAUGCUACAAUGGCUGGUACAGAGAGUGGCGAGCCUGUGAGGGUGAGCGAAUCUCGGAAAGCCGGUCUCAGUUCGGAUUGGGGUCUGCAACUCGACCUCAUGAAGUCGGAGUCGCUAGUAAUCGCAGAUCAGCAACGCUGCGGUGAAUACGUUCCCGGGGCUUGUACACACCGCCCGUCAAGUCAUGAAAGUUGGUAACACCCGAAGCCGGUGGCCUAACCGUUGUGGGGGAGCCGUCGAAGGUGGGACUGGUGAUUAGGACUAAGUCGAAACAAGGUAGCCGUACCGGAAGGUGCGGCUGGAUCACCU